This 253-nucleotide ribosomal RNA is filed under the name uncultured bacterium. Its description in RNAcentral is "partial 16S ribosomal RNA". It matches the Rfam family "Bacterial small subunit ribosomal RNA", at positions 524 to 776 of the family's 1533-position model. The record is from RNAcentral.
GACAGAGGGUGCAAACGUUGUUCGGAAUUACUGGGCGUAGAGCGCGUGUAGGCUGCUUUGCAAGUCGGAUGUGAAAGCCCCGGGCUCAACCUGGGAAGUGCACUCGAAACUGCAGAGCUCGAGUCCUGGAGAGGAAGGCGGAAUUCUCGGUGUAGAGGUGAAAUUCGUAGAUAUCGAGAGGAACACCGGUGGCGAAGGCGGCCUUCUGGACAGUGACUGACGCUGAGACGCGAAAGCGUGGGGAGCAAACAGG